AUCUCACUGCUUAGUGAUGCUACCAUUUAAAGUCAUUUUAGUGACGAUUGUAUCUUGUUCCUGUGAUUAAAUUAAUAUUUAAUGGGUGAUUGCUGUUACUUGGAAAUGUGACAUGAGAAGACUCAAAACCAGUAACAUCCAUUUUUAAAUAUGAAGCCAUAAACUUUUAUAUCACUUACAGUACCUUGUAUGUAUACAAUGUCUUUCAACACAGUCUCAGUAUAAAAGCACCAAAUGUAAAAACUAAUAGGUUUAUACAUGAGAAAAGUGAAGUGAGGUGGAAAGUAGCAGAAGAUGAGUAAGAUAUUGUAAUAUUAUUGAUACUUAAUAGUGAUAAUGGCUAUUAAUACAAAUAUUAAAAAUAACAUGAAGAUUCCAAUCUUCUGUAACCCUAAUAUUUCCAACCAGUAUGAGGAUGCAUGGGCUGACAAUACAAACCACUUCACAGUUGCUUUUAUUCAUUCCAUAUACAUUUACUGAGUGCCAAACAGGGUGCUGAAAAAUGUGUUCAGUUUAAUUUGGAGAACGUUUCUGAUAAGUAAUAAUAUAAGCAGGAUAGAAAGUAUUUACUUAUGUGCCAGGCACUAUACUAAGCAGUUUUAUUGUAUUAAUUCAUCUAUUUCUACCAGCAGCCCUGUGGGAUGGCUACUAUGAUUAACCCAUUUUAUAGAUGAAACUACUAAAACUCAAGAGAGGUGUGUGACUUGUCCAAGAUCACACGGCUAACGCUGGCACAACCACGAUUCAAACACAGGCAAUGUGCCUCUAAAGUCCACCCUCCCUACCCCUAAGCUAAAGUGCCUCCAGGGGGAUUCCUUGCCAAGUAAAAGAAGUCUAAAGAAAGAAUAUAAUUUUCAGGAUUCAGAACCAUCGCAAGCCAAAAAUAUCCACCUCUCAAGAAGCCUGGCCCAAAUAUAAGAGGAUAUAGAUGAGAGUGUGCACCUAGAGACAGCACCAGGGUAGUGGAAAUACACCCAGAAACAGAAGCUCAGUGCCGACUACCGGCAUGACCUUGGGCCAAUGCCUUAAAACUUUCCAGCUUUAGCUUCCUUAUCUCUGAGCUAGAGAUGUUUAAAUUACAGAUCAGUAUAACCACGUGGUUAAAGCAAACAAUCUCGGCUAUUAAUCUGGAUUCCGUCACUUUCCAAUUAUGUUACCUUGAGCAAGUUAUUUAACCUCUGUGAGCCUCAAUUUCCAUCUGAAAAAAAAAAACGGGAAUAAUAAUGGGGUUUUCUGAGGACUAAAUGAACUGUACAUAGAAAUACAUAAAGCACUCAGAGUAGCAACCAGUAUAGAAUAAAAGCUCAAGGUUUUAUUACUGAUACUAUAAUCACUAUGACUUUUAGUAGAAUUACAUUUUUUAUAAAACUACCCACUUCUUCCCUUUUCAAAAUCCUCUCAAAGAAGAGCUAUUUUUUGAGUUGGUUUCAACAGCAGAAAGGACAACCUUUGCUGGCUUCAUACAAGCACUAACCAGUCCGUGAAUCACCAAUUCCCUAUGAGAUGUAAGCUGGAUUUGUUGGGCAAGCCUUCUAAGACCGCUCCUUCCAAGGGGAGGAAAGAGUGGUAAGCGCCCUUUUGUUCUCCCUCUUCCUUAUGCCUGGAAUUCAGAAGAUGGAGCUGGAAGUGAAGCAGCCCUGAGGAAUUGUGAGCAUCCCAUAAGCUAGCGGGGCAAAGCUGAAAGCACCCCUUACCCACCACAGACCUCCCACCCCCACCCACCAUCUUCACAUGGGGGAGAAAUUUACACGGGUCAGGUUACUGAAUUCAAGUUUUCCAAAUGUCUAUAGCAUAUCGCAUUAGGCUUUAGUUAACACUUACUUUGACUAACCCCCUAAAACACCAUUUCAAAACGUAAAGCUCAGAAAUAAAUUACUUACAUGUUCUCUAGUCUUUUACAGCACCAUCUCUUAAAAACAUGCACAAAAACAGCACCUGCUUAGCAGUGCCAUCUUCAACUCCUCAAUUGUUUUGUUUUGUUUGUAUUGAUUAUAUUCUCUUAUUAUCUGUGUUCUUGAUACUCCCGUAUUUGGGGCCUUGACUGUGGAGAGACUGUUCCUCCCUGGGCUGGCUAAUUCCUAGAGACAGAAAACACCCCUGUGCGAGCGUGCCUGUGAUAUACAAACCAACCAAUCCAGAGCCACAGCAGGGCCUCACUCUGUCAUCCAGGCUGGAGUGCCGUGGCGUCAUCUUGGCUCACUGCAAUCUCUGCCUCUCAGGUUCAAGCGAUUCUCACACCUCAGCCUCCCAAGUAGCUGGGAUUACAGGCAUAUACCACCACGUAUGGCUAACUUUUGUAUUUUUAGUAGAGACGAGUUUUCACCAUGUUGGCCAGGCUGGUCUCAAACUUCCGGCCUCAAAUAAUCCAUCCACUUCAGCCUCCCACAGUGCUGGGAUUACAGAUGUGAGCAACCGUGCCCAGCCCCUAAGUAAAUUCUUAUACUGACAACUGGAUAAUAUGAUUCAGAAUGUAAUCAAAAUAUUAGUGCAACUGAUGCAAAUGAAAUAAAUGUCCAAGAAGUCAGUGAUAUGUAUCUGUUUUGUGCACUAUUGUAUCCCCAUGUCACUGAGAACCCCAGAAAGUACCAGCAUCAAAUUGCAAGGUCAAGAUGGCAUAAAACACGGUUGCAUGUACUGGGCAAGAAGCACUUUGAUGGUGAGCUGAGAAACUGCUUUCGCCAUGUACUGAGCCUGGGAUGGAAUCAGAAUCACAGGGUGCGGGGUCAGCAUGGGAGCAGG
Molecule: long non-coding RNA, 2739 nt
Filed under: Homo sapiens (human)
Lineage: Eukaryota; Metazoa; Chordata; Mammalia; Primates; Hominidae
Description: HSALNT0345471
Source: RNAcentral